CAGUUUAUCACAUCAAGUCACAAGUCACAUUUGAGCAUAUUGGUCUUCUUCCCCACGUACUAGAUGCUUUAAAUGAGCAAGCUUUCAAGCCAAAGAUACGAGCUUCUUAUCUUGAAAAGGAACGAAAUGUUGUG
This is a long non-coding RNA of Morus notabilis, 134 nucleotides long. RefSeq lists it as uncharacterized. NCBI's taxonomy places the organism in Eukaryota, Viridiplantae, Streptophyta, Magnoliopsida, Rosales, Moraceae. The record is from RefSeq and is a predicted model, not a curated record. The transcript is spliced from 3 exons.